Long non-coding RNA from Cyprinus carpio (common carp), 2943 nucleotides. Lineage: Eukaryota; Metazoa; Chordata; Actinopteri; Cypriniformes; Cyprinidae. The record is from Ensembl.
AUGCGCACUGAUUGUCCGGCCUCAUGUCCUCCCCUAGCGUCUGAGGGAAUGGUAUCGUCUGGUAGAACCUGUACUAGACGGAGAGCUCGAGCGCUGCUCGUGAGAGGACAGCGCUCGUCAGCGGGAAUGGCGGAGACCGUUUGCUCGCUCUUCGACUACCGGGAGCCGCCGACGCUGGACAGCAACGGAGAGAGCAGCAAACCGCCACCGCCGCGAGGACGUGGCUGUGGAAGGAAAAGGAAAGGGACACCAGUAAAAGUGUGUGACAGAGUUUUUGCUACAGAGGAUGAGGAGGAGAGCAUGUCUGAGAACAGCUAUGGACCAGAAAAAGGUGAUGGUCAUGAGGACAAACACAGAGUGCCUGCUGCUGAUGGAUCAUACUAUGAAACUCAAUCUGCUCAGCUCUGCAGUGUAAGUGAGGAGGGCUCUAGCAGAGGGAGGGGGGCCGUCUCAUACCCCCCACCACCAAACUGCCGCAUUCGUGAAGUGCACUGUGGAAAUCAAGUGCGACUAACUGUCAUAGCGAUCCGUGACAUUGCUAAGGGGGAGGAGAUCACUGUGGAUUACAGUUUGACCGAGUGGGGAGAAAACGCUAUGGGUUUCCAUGGCGCUGUAUCUCCUAGUAGCUUUGAUUGCAGCUCAGACCAUGAAAGAAACAUUAAGAAGGAGGAAGAGUCUGGCCCAGUUCCACUUUCUGCAUCAGAAUACCUCACACCUUCCUGGUCUCUCUCUCCUUCCUCCUCUCCUCUGUCUCACUCUGAGCCCAGUGAUUCAGACCUUGACUCGGAUGAUGCCAAUGGAGAGACACGCAUGCGAAUACCUCACCGCCGCAAAAGGCACAAAGCCCUGUCUGCACAUGCUAAGAGAAAAGCACUUCAACGACCCCCCAGCCAUCCUCCCACUUUUCCACACUCCCUCCUGUCCUCCUCACUGCAGCCUGCUGCUCCCUCCAGUCCUGUGUUUAAGUGCCCGCCGUCUGCAGGAGUUCCUGCUAAUAGUGUCAAUGUGUCAGUGGGUCGUGGGCAGAGCACCAUGGCACAGAAACAGCGCUGUGUUUACUGUGGUCGUCACUUCCGAUCUCUCCCACGCCAUCUGGAUAAACACCACGCCCACCAGCCGGACGUGUGCUCUGCAAUGGUACAAGCAUGCACCUCUGGUGACCCUCCUUGUGUAAAGUCACCUCUUCCAUCAUCGAGCAAGCAGUCCCAAUGCCUUCAAGUGACUCCUGUUCCAGGUGUGGUGGUGGGAACACCACAGUCACCACCCUCUACUUCUUUGUCUCCGGUCAGAAGGAGCCCUGCCCUCUCUAGCCCUAUUUGCAAAAGUCCUACCCCAGCCCCGACAACUCCGCCCAGAAGAGGAGGUGUUCCAGUGUCUGUCUUAAAGAGGAGCCCACCUAUUCCUGCUACUCCUCCCAGAAAAGGAGGACGAAAAACGAAAAAGGAUAAAGAGGAGGUGGACAUUUUUGAGAAGACAAAAGAAGAGGAAUUGCCCACUCCAGUGUUUUUAGAUCAUGUUAAGGAGUCAAAACCUUCGAAAGAAGAAAGAGAGGACAAUGGAGGGAGAGAAGAAGAAAGCGGCGCAGAGGAUAAGACCGACCUAUCAAGUUCGCGUCGUCUCCACAUGCUCCCACUUCUUUCCUCCCUUUCCUCCCUGGUGUUGUACCUGCGGCGGCUGCAGCACUCUGCCUUUAUUUCUCUCUCCCGCUCACCACAGUCGGCCGAGGCAUGGCGUCUCCUCUGUCACUCCAGUCUGGCCCUACUCAUCCUUUACAAUCGCCGGCGUGAAUGUGAAGUCUCCAAGCUCACCAUCUCCGAGUACCAGGCCCGCAUCACAUCCCAGUGCCCCAUUCCUGUGCAAUCUGGUGCCCCACCAACUCUUACCCCACUGGAGGCCUCGCUCUCACCCUUCGAGCGGAUGGUCCUCCCCCAUCUCCCUCGCGUUGGAGUCCAAGGGAAACGUGGCCGUGUACAGCCACUCAUCCUCCCACCACACUCUGAAGCCUGUAUGGAGAUGCUUUUGCAGACUCGUGCCGGUGUGGGAAUUGAUCCACAGAACACCUAUGUGUUUGCCAGGCCAUAUCAUUCGCCUGCCACUCCCCUACGAGGGACAGACUUACUUCGUAGUUUGGCUCGGUCCAGUGGUACUCAGCACCCACAGGCACUGACACAGACACGCGUUCGCAGGCAGGUGGCGAUACUUACUCAGCUGCUGUUGUUAAGUGAGGGUGAGGAGGAAGGGCAGCACGGGUCUGCCAUACAGCGAUUGGAAAGUUUCUUGCAGAAGGAGUAUCACGUGACCCAAAGCUGUGCAACCAUCGGCCAGGACCCUGGGCUGAUGGGUCUGAUUGGUCGGGUGGUACUAUGCGGAGAGAGAGAUGGCGUCUUAUUCCGAGGAAUGAGUUUACACCACAUCUGUCUGGAGUUAGAUGUGUUGUCAGGAAACUCUGCCGAUUCGUUGUCAGAGGAGUCAGAUUCUGAGCAGAGUAAAGAGAAACCUGAAGCACCAUCUCCUGCAACCAGCAUUAUGAUGAAGAAAACCAUAAGCAACAACAAAUCUCCCCGGCCCAAGAAGAUGACCGGCAGCUCCCUGCUCUCAAAGGGACGCAAAAAGGCCUCAGGACAGCCCAAGCCUGGUAAACGUGGUGUGCUGAAGCGGCCUUGGUCUGAGGCAGAGCGGGCAGCUGUUGAGUCCCACCUGGUGCAAAACAUUAUGGAGCUGCGUGUGCCAGCUAAAGCGGACUGUGAACGCUGCCUGGAGCUCUGCCCCCUGCUGGUCACUAACCACCGGGACUGGAGGGCAGUGAAAUUCUACUGCCACAACCGUAUACAGCUGCUCAAGAAAACCCAGCAGAGACAGGGUCCACCCGCCCUGUCCGUCUGCUGAGGCUGUGAAUAAGCGCAUCCAAUAACAGCAGAUGUGUAAGGGAGGGAAUGUGAGGAG